GGUGGUCUGGUGAAUGCUCAAGGAGCUGCGGAAGGGAAGUCCCUCUCCAAACUAGCCAGCCACUGAGACCUUCUGACAGGACACCCCCAGGAUGCCACCCAAAAAAGUCGGGACAGAACAAGUCAACUGGCAAGUCCAUUGCUCAGCUUGUUGAAAUACUCUGCACAGAACACAAGGAAAAACUGUUUUCAUGAGGUAGCCCAUGAAGAGAUGAAGCGAGGCAAAUUUAUCUGCCUGGAUAACCUCCUGUAUGCUGUUUUCACUCCAUGGAGAGUCAACACAACACACUUCUGAGUUGUAUUAUCAAGCUCCUUCAACAGGGCAUUGCUGUAAGAUCCUAGAUCCCACACUCCAUGAUGUGAUGUUUUAGCCAAGUCUGGAAGUAGCACAGGCCCUAAAAUCUCACGAUUGCAGGUUGUCAACUCUGCUGUAGGCUUGCCACUUCAAGGGCAAGUGGUUGAUUGGGGCUGGGAUUUGGGCAGAGCCAUAGAAAGGAAGGGAACAUUCAAGGGAAUUUGAUGAUGUGCAUGAUGUCUCUGUCUGAUACAAAAAGAAAAAAA
This 560-nucleotide small RNA is filed under the name Pongo abelii (Sumatran orangutan). RNAcentral's name for it is "processed transcript". The record is from RNAcentral. Lineage: Eukaryota; Metazoa; Chordata; Mammalia; Primates; Hominidae.